This 666-nucleotide long non-coding RNA is filed under the name Parus major (Great Tit). RNAcentral's name for it is "lncRNA (ENSPMJG00000006896.1)". Lineage: Eukaryota; Metazoa; Chordata; Aves; Passeriformes; Paridae. The record is from RNAcentral.
CUCAUCAGAGACACACGGGAGGUGAGAUGUCCCAAUGUGGGUACUCUGCCCAUAGUGUCAGUAAAUGCUAUAUAUUAUUAUAUAUUUUUUUAAAUACAGUGAAGGACUUUAGAGAGAGAGGUCCUCUUAAGCUAAACAUCUCCUUAGGUCAGCUGAGAUGUAAAGCACAGUCCUUGUACCCUCCUGUCGUCAAGAUGGCUCAAAAUUCAUGUGAGGAAGUUGGGUCUGCUGUCCUUAAGAGCUCCAAGCAAAGCCACUUGGUAACAAGGAUACUGCAUCUCAGAGGGAGACAGAUGUGGCAGCUGACAGGGCUGGUGGUGUCACACACCGGGUUCCAGAAUAAAGGCAACUACAAGGCUGAACAGUUUGAAUGUCCAUGGCAGAAGAGAUGCAGUCCACAAUUUGGGUGCACACCUGUGUGUGGACAGCUCUGUCUUUUCAGUGACUGCAUUCGAGGAUGGCAAGAGACCACGUACCAUUACGUAACUGUUUGAGUGAAAAGAAUUUUCCUCAAAAGUACUUGGGACACUAAGCAGAUGGCAGCAACUUAAUCCAGUCCAAAGAAGGAGUAAGUGAAAUCACUCAGUCAGUUACAUUCAUUGGGAAAACUCUCUGAUUCUCUCAUAUCUAAUGGAAAAAGAAAAUAAAACAUUACUGAAACUGCCA